GGCAUAGGGGUCGGGUGGGGCUCGUUCGGGGUGCACAACGGUUGCGCCAAAAACGGUCCAAAAAUGGCCAAGGCUUUACCAUACGAAAAAUCGGCCGAUUUUUAACCAUGCGAGAAACGUCCCGAAAAUUCACAGAUAACUACUAGGCGGCCUCACUUUGAGUAAUAUUAAAGUUUUUUCCCACAAAAACAGCUCGGAGAUGCCCAGACUCAGUUUUUAUUUUCGUCCCAAUACUUUUCUUCCCAUGGUUUAGUUGUGUUCCUUUGAUCUUGUGCAACCUAUUUAGACCGAUGAUAGCCCGCGGAUAGGUGUGGAAACCCAUCUAUAUUGCACCCAGUAUGACACAGAAAAAAAUCCCAGGGCAUAGGGGUCGGGUGGGGCUCGUUCGGGGUGCACAACGGUUGCGCCAAAAACGGUCCAAAAAUGGCCAAGGCUUUACCAUACGAAAAAUCGGCCAGGUUUUAACCAUGCGAGAAACGUCCCGAAAACUCACAGAUAACUACUAGGCGGCCUCACUUUGAGUAAUAUUAAAGUUUUUUCCCACAAAAAAGCUCGGAGAUGCCCAGACUCAGUUUUUAUUUUUUCGUCCCAAUACUUUUCUUCCCAUGGUUUGGUUGUGUUCCUUUGAUAUUUUGCGACCUAUUUAGACCUAUGAUUGCCCGCGGAUAGGUGUGGAAACCCAUCUAUAUUGCACCCAGUAUGACACAGAAAAAAAUCCCAGGGCAUAGGGGUCGGGUGGGGCUCGUUCGGGGUGCACAACGGUUGCGCCAAAAACGGUCCAAAAAUGGCCAAGGCUUUACCAUACGAAAAAUCGGCCGAUUUUUAACAAUGCGAGAAACGUCCCGAAAACUCACAGAUAACUUCUAGGCGGCCUCACUUUGAGUAAUAUUAAAGUUUUUUCCUACAAAAACAGCUCGGAGAUGCCCAUACUCACUUUUUAUUUUCGUCCCAAUACUUUUCUUCCCAUGGUUUGGUUGUGUUCUUUGAUCUUGUGCAACCUAUUUAGACCGAUGAUAGCCCGCGGAUAGGUGUGGAAACCCAUCUAUAUUGCACCCAGUAUGACACAGAAAAAAAUCCCAGGGCAUAGGGGUCGGGUGGGGCUCGUUCGGGGUGCACAACUGUUGCGCCAAAAACGGUCCAUAAAUGGCCAAGGCUUUACCAUACGAAAAAUCGGUCGAUUUUUAACCAUGCGAGAAACGUCCCGAAAACUCACAGAUAACUACUAGGCGGCCUCACUUUAAGUAAUAUUAAAGUUUUUUCCCAUAAAAACAGCUCGUAGAUGCCCAGACUCACUUUUUAUUUUCGUCCCAAUACUUUUCUUCCCAUGGUUUGGUUGUGUUCCUUUGAUCUUGUGCAACCUAUUUAGACCGAUGAUAGCCCGCGGAUAGGUGUGGAAACCCAUCUAUAUUGCACCCAGUAUGACACAGAAAAAAAUCCCAGGGCAUAGGGGUCGGGUGGGGCUCGUUCGGGGUGUUCAACGGUUGAGCCAAAAACGGUCCAAAAAUGGCCAAGGCUUUACCGUACGAAAAAUCGGCCGAUUUUUACCCUUGCGAGAAACGUCCCGAAAGCUCACAGAUAACUACUAGGCGGCCUCACUUUGGGUAAUAUUAAAGUUUUUUCCCACAAAAACAGCUCGGAGAUGCCCAGACUCAGUUUUUAUUUUUGUCCCAAUACUUUUCUUCCCAUGGUUUAGUUGUGUUCUUUGAUCUUGUGCAACCUAUUUAGACGAUGAUAGCCCGCGGAUAGGUGUGGAAAACCAUCUAUAUUGCACCCAGUAUGACACAGAAAAAAAACCAGGGCAUAGGGGUCGGGUGGGGCUCGUUCGGGGUGCACAACGGUUGCGCCAAAAACGGUCCAAAAAUGGCCAAGGCUUUACCAUACGAAAAAUCGGCCAGGUUUUAACCAUGCGAGAAACAUCCCGAAAACACACAGAUAACUACUAGGUGGCCUCACUUUGAGUAAUAUUAAAGUUUUUUCCCACAAAAUUAGCUCGGAGAUGCCCAGAUUGAGUUUUUAUUUUCGUCCCAAUACUUUUCUUCCCACGGUUUAGUUGUGUUCCUUUGAUCUUGUGCAACCUAUGUAGACCGAUGAUAGCCCGCGGAUAGGUGUGGAAACCCAUCUAUAUUGCAGCCAGUAUGACACAGAAAAAAAUCCCAGGGCAUAGGGGUCGGGUGGGGCCCGUUCGGGGUGCACAACGAUUGCGCCAAAAACGGUCCAAAAAUGGACAAGGCUUUAGCAUACGAAAAAUCGGCCGAUUUUUAAGCAUGCGAGAAACGUCCCGAAAACUCACAGAUACCUACUAGGCGGCCUCACUUUGAGUAAUUUUAAAGUUUUUUCCCACAAAAACAGCUCGGAGAUGCCCAUACUCAGUUUUUAUUUUCGUCACAAUACUUUUCUUCCCAUGGUUUGGUUGUGUUCUUUUGAUCUUGUGCAACCUAUUUAGACCGAUGAUAGCCCGCGGAUAGGUGUGGAAACCAAUCUAUAUUGCACCCAGUAUGACACAGAAAAAAAUCCCAGGGCAUAGGGGUCGGGUGGGGCUCGUUCGGGGUGCACAACGGUUGCGCCAAAAACGGUCCAAAAAUGGACAAGGCUACCAUACGAAAAAUCCGCCGAUUUUUAAGCAUGCCAGAAACGUCCCGAAAACUCACUGAUAACUACUAGGCGGCCUCACUUUGAGUAAUAUUAAAGUUUUUUCCCAGAAAAACAGCUCGGAGAUGCCCAGACUCAGUUUUUAUUUUCGUCCCAAUACUUUUCUUCCCAUGGUUUGGUUGUGUUUCUUUGAUCUUGUGCAACCUAUUUAGACCGAUGAUAGCCCGCGGAUAGGUGUGGAAACCCAUCUAUAUUGCAGCCAGUAUGACACAGAAAAAAAUCCCAGGGCAUAGGGGUCGGGUGGGGCCCGUUCGGGGUGCACAACGAUUGCACCAAAAACGGUCCAAAAAUGGACAAGGCUUUACCAUACGAAAAAUCGGCCGAUUUUUAAGCAUGCGAGAAACGUCCCGAAAACUCACAGAUACCUACUAGGCGGCCUCACUUUGAGUAAUUUUAAAGUUUUUUCCCACAAAAACAGCUCGGAGAUGACCAGACUCAGUUUUUAUUUUCGUCACAAUACUUUUCUUCCCAUGGUUUGGUUGUGUUCUUUUGAUCUUGUGCAACCUAUUUAGACCGAUGAUAGCCCGCGGAUAGGUGUGGAAACCAAUCUAUAUUGCACCCAGUAUGACACAGAAAAAAAUCCCAGGGCAUAGGGGUCGGGUGGGGCUCGUUCGGGGUGCACAACGGUUGCGCCAAAAACGGUCCAAAAAUGGACAAGGCUACCAUACGAAAAAUCCGCCGAUUUUUAAGCAUGCCAGAAACGUCCCGAAAACUCACAGAUAACUACUAGGCGGCCUCACUUUGAGUAAUAUUAAAGUUUUUUCCCACAAAAAUAGCUCGGAGAUGACCAGACUCAGUUUUUAUUUUCGUCACAAUACUUUUCUUCCCAUGGUUUGGUUGUGUUCUUUUGAUCUUGUGCAACCUAUUUAGACCGAUGAUAGCCCGCGGAUAGGUGUGGAAACCAAUCUAUAUUGCACCCAGUAUGACACAGAAAAAAAUCCCAGGGCAUAGGGGUCGGGUGGGGCUCGUUCGGGGUGCACAACGGUUGCGCCAAAAACGGUCCAAAAAUGGACAAGGCUACCAUACGAAAAAUCGCCGAUUUUUAAGCAUGUGAGAAACGUCCCGAAAACUCACAGAUAACUACUAGGCGGCCUCACUUUGAGUAAUAUUAAAGUUUUUUCCCACAAAAACAGCUCGGAGAUGCCCAGACUCAGUUUUUAUUUUCGUCCCAAUACUUUUAUUCCCAUGGUUUGGUUGUGUUUCUUUGAUCAUGUGCAACCUAUGUAGACCGAUGAUAGCCCGCGGAUAGGUGUGGAAACCCAUCUAUAUUGCAGCCAGUGUGACACAGAAAAAAAUCCCAGGGCAUAGGGGUCGGGUGGGGCCCGUUCGGGGUGCACAACGAUUGCGCCAAAAACGGUCCAAAAAUGGACAAGGCUUUACCAUACGAAAAAUCGGCCGAUUUUUAAGCAUGCGAGAAACGUCCCGAAAACUCACAGAUACCUACUAGGCGGCCUCACUUUGAGUAAUUUUAAAGUUUUUUCCCACAAAAACCGCUCGGAGAUGACCAGACUCAGUUUUUAUUUUCGUCACAAUACUUUUCUUCCCAUGGUUUGGUUGUGUUCUUUUGAUCUUGUGCAACCUAUUUAGACCGAUGAUAGCCCGCGGAUAGGUGUGGAAACCAAUCUAUAUUGCACCCAGUAUGACACAGAAAAAAAUCCCAGGGCAUAGGGGUCGGGUGGGGCUCGUUCGGGGUGCACAACGGUUGCGCCAAAAACGGUCCAAAAAUGGACAAGGCUACCAUACGAAAAAUCCGCCGAUUUUUAAGCAUGCCAGAAACGUCCCGAAAACUCACAGAUAACUACUAGGCGGCCUCACUUUGAGUAAUAUUAAAGUUUUUUCCCACAAAAAUAGCUCGGAGAUGCCCAGACUCAGUUUUUAUUUUCGUUCCAAUACUUUUCUUCCCAUUGUUUGGUUGUGUUCCUUUGAUCUUGUGCAACCUAUUUAGACCGAUGAUAGCCCGCGGAUAGGUGUGGAAACCCAUCUAUAUUGCACCCAGUAUGACAAUAAAAAAUCCCAGGGCAUAGGGGUCGGGUGGGGCUCGUUCGGGGUGCACAACGGUUGCGCCAAAAACGGUCCAAAAAUGGCCAAGGCUUUACCAUACGAAAAAUCGGCCAAUUUUUAACCGUGCGAGAAACGUCCCGAAAACUCACAGACAACUACUAGGCAGCCUCACUUUGAGUAAUAUUAAAGUUUUUUCCCACAAAAACAGCUCGGAGAUGCCCAGACUCAGUUUUUAUUUUCGUCCCAAUACUUUUCUUCCCAUGGUUUGGUUGUGUUCCUUUGAUCUUGUGCAACCUAUAUAGACCGAU
This 4958-nucleotide long non-coding RNA is filed under the name Cucumis sativus (cucumber). RNAcentral's name for it is "long non-coding RNA (CSAT_LNC000470)". Lineage: Eukaryota; Viridiplantae; Streptophyta; Magnoliopsida; Cucurbitales; Cucurbitaceae. The record is from RNAcentral.